RNAcentral lists this long non-coding RNA (320 nucleotides) under Olea europaea subsp. europaea. The record is from RNAcentral. Lineage: Eukaryota; Viridiplantae; Streptophyta; Magnoliopsida; Lamiales; Oleaceae.
UGCCCGACAGCAAAAGAUAAAUAAGAGGGGACUUGCCAGUUUGUAACUUCCAGCACUACCAGAGAUAAAAAGAACAAGAAUGCCAUUAAGCUUCUUAAGAUGCUCAUUAAAAUAAAUCUUUCUCCAUCCUUCGAGGUACAGAUAUAAAUUAUAUUUGGUGACAUAUUUGCUAGUGUGGGGAAGAGAAUGUAUGUAGGCAACCUCUUGUUGUUGCAAGCAAAAAUUUUCACCUUUAAGGAAACAAUGGAAAAAAAAGCAUAAAGUCGUUGGAACUCUAGUAAAAGCCAACGGAGAAAGUUAAAAAAAAAAAAAAAAAAAAA